AGUGAACGCUGGCGGUAGGCCUAACACAUGCAAGUCGAACGGCAGCACAGUAAGAGCUUGCUCUUACGGGUGGCGAGUGGCGGACGGGUGAGGAAUACAUCGGAAUCUACUUUUUCGUGGGGGAUAACGUAGGGAAACUUACGCUAAUACCGCAUACGACCUACGGGUGAAAGCAGGGGAUCUUCGGACCUUGCGCGAUUGAAUGAGCCGAUGUCGGAUUAGCUAGUUGGCGGGGUAAAGGCCCACCAAGGCGACGAUCCGUAGCUGGUCUGAGAGGAUGAUCAGCCACACUGGAACUGAGACACGGUCAAGACUCCUACGGGAGGCAGCAGUGGGGAAUAUUGGACAAUGGGCGCAAGCCUGAUCCAGCCAUACCGAGUGGGUGAAGAAGGCCUUCGGGUUGUAAAGCCCUUUUGUUGGGAAAGAAAAGCAGCAGGUUAAUACCACGCUGUUCUGACGGUACCCAAAGAAUAAGCACCGGCUAACUUCGUG
RNAcentral lists this ribosomal RNA (492 nucleotides) under uncultured bacterium. Its description in RNAcentral is "partial 16S ribosomal RNA". It matches the Rfam family "Bacterial small subunit ribosomal RNA", at positions 29 to 507 of the family's 1533-position model. The record is from RNAcentral.